GAUGAACGCUAGCGGUGUGCUUAAAGCAUGCAAGUCGAACGUGAUCUCUUGGAUUCGUCUGAGGGUGAAAGUGGCGAACGGGUGAGUAAUGCGUUGGUGAUCUGCCCCGGAGUGGGGAAUAACUAUUGGAAACGAUAGCUAAUACCCCAGAUGUCCUCGUGUUUGGAAAGCGAUGACUAAAGUUCAGGCGCUCCGGGAGGAGCCGACGUCCCAUCAGCUAGUUGGUAGGGUAAUGGCCUACCAAGGCACAGACGGGUAGGGGGCGUGAGAGCGUGACCCCCCACACUGGUACUGACACACGGACCAGAUACCUACGGGUAGCAGCAGCUAGGAAUAUUGGACAAUGGGCGAAAGCCUGAUCCAGCAACACCGCGUGGAGGACGAAGGCCUUCGGGUCGUAAACUCCUUUUUGGGGGAUGAGAAAGGACAGUACCCCCAGAAUAAGGCCCGGCUAACUACGUGCCAGCAGCCGCGGUAAAGUCGUACGUAACGUACGUACGUAGGACGGGCGGGUCGUCGGACGAACGGCG
RNAcentral lists this ribosomal RNA (530 nucleotides) under uncultured bacterium. RNAcentral's name for it is "bacterial SSU rRNA". It matches the Rfam family "Bacterial small subunit ribosomal RNA", at positions 33 to 541 of the family's 1533-position model. The record is from RNAcentral.